GUGAUUAAAUCGAGGCGUGUCUUCAUUGACCUGCUCACCCCCUUCUCACCAUCCACCUUACACCUGUGCCUGUUAGCCUGAGCCGGUUUUUCCGUUGUCCAGGUUACCAUUUCAUACAACUCUAGUCUUAUUGAAUGUAAACGUUUUAAUAACAUAAU
This 158-nucleotide unclassified non-coding RNA is filed under the name soil metagenome. Its description in RNAcentral is "partial internal transcribed spacer 1". The record is from RNAcentral.